This 742-nucleotide ribosomal RNA is filed under the name uncultured bacterium. Its description in RNAcentral is "bacterial SSU rRNA". It matches the Rfam family "Bacterial small subunit ribosomal RNA", at positions 94 to 823 of the family's 1533-position model. The record is from RNAcentral.
AGCGGCGGAUGGGUGAGUAACACGUGGGGAACCUGCCCCUAAGUCUGGGAUACCAUUUGGAAACAGGUGCUAAUACCGGAUAAUAAAGCAGAUCGCAUGAUCAGCUUUUGAAAGGCGGCGUAAGCUGUCGCUAAGGGAUGGCCCCGCGGUGCAUUAGCUAGUUGGUAAGGAAACGGCUUACCAAGGCGACGAUGCAUAGCCGAGUUGAGAGACUGAUCGGCCACAUUGGGACUGAGACACGGCCCAAACUCCUACGGGAGGCAGCAGUAGGGAAUCUUCCACAAUGGACGCAAGUCUGAUGGAGCAACGCCGCGUGAGUGAAGAAGGUUUUCGGAUCGUAAAGCUCUGUUGUUGGUGAAGAAGGAUAGAGGUAGUAACUGGCCUUUAUUUGACGGUAAUCAACCAGAAAGUCACGGCUAACUACGUGCCAGCAGCCGCGGUAAUACGUAGGUGGCAAGCGUUGUCCGGAUUUAUUGGGCGUAAAGCGAGCGCAGGCGGAAAAAUAAGUCUAAUGUGAAAGCCCUCGGCUUAACCGAGGAGCUGCAUCGGAAACUGUUUUUCUUGAGUGCAGAAGAGGAGAGUGGAACUCCAUGUGUAGCGGUGGAAUGCGUAGAUGUAUGGAAGAACACCAGUGGCGAAGGCGGCUCUCUGGUCUGCAACUGACGCUGAGGCUCGAAAGCAUGGGUAGCGAACAGGACUAGAUACCCUGGUAGUCCAUGCCGUAACGAUGAGUGCUAAGUGU